AACAAGGAAGCCAAUUCUAGAAUGCGGUUCUGGAGUAGAGGGUUCUCCACAGUGUCUUCUUUCUGCAGCUGUGGACAUCUCAAAGCGGUUAAAUAGAUCAACCAAGAUCCCUGAAUCACUAACCUGUGAUGCUUGCUGGAAGCAAAACCACCAAUUACAGUUUUACAAACAGCAUCAAAACAAGCUUGUGGCACUGGAAAUACAGGAAGAGAGGAUGGAGAAUGGAGAAAACUCAAUAACGGAACAUAAAGCGACCAAAAGAUAUUGAUGGGGAUGGAUGGGGGAAAAGCGACAGAGAAAAAAGAGAAAACAAAUUCAAUUGUCUAUUUUUUAAUAUUUCAUUAACAUUACUAAAGAAAGACUUUUGUACUGCCACAAUGCUGCUGACCUAGCCUUUUAUUUUAAAGUUAUUGGUUUGUUCUCUUUUCAGUCUGUCACUAUAUAUAUCAUGUGGAUAUUAUUACUGACUGCAAAGAUGGGAAAUUAAUGGACCGUGGAAUGAAAUUAAAUCCUGUCUGAUGAUAGCCCAUCAGCAAAAUGACCUUGUAUUUCACAUCUGGCAAGGGCAUCUUUGUGAUGAAUAUACUGUAUUACAGGCCUCUUCCACCCAUUGUGUUGCAUUUGUGUUUGGUCUUGUGUCUUUGCAUCAGAGAAGUAGGACAAAGCUCAUAUUUCUAAAAUAAAUUGCA
Callorhinchus milii (elephant shark) is the source of this 689-nucleotide long non-coding RNA. RefSeq lists it as uncharacterized. The record is from RefSeq and is a predicted model, not a curated record. The transcript has 3 exons. NCBI's taxonomy places the organism in Eukaryota, Metazoa, Chordata, Chondrichthyes, Chimaeriformes, Callorhinchidae.